RNAcentral lists this unclassified non-coding RNA (424 nucleotides) under uncultured fungus. RNAcentral describes it as "partial contains small subunit ribosomal RNA, internal transcribed spacer 1, and 5.8S ribosomal RNA". The stretch from base 1 to 73 matches the Rfam family "Eukaryotic small subunit ribosomal RNA", at positions 1759 to 1831 of the family's 1831-position model. The record is from RNAcentral. Lineage: Eukaryota; Fungi.
GCAAACUUGGUCAUUUAGAGGAAGUAAAAGUCGUAACAAGGUUUCCGUAGGUGAACCUGCGGAAGGAUCAUUAUUGAAUAUAUUGCCUUGAUGGGUUGUUGCUGGCCUCUUGGGGCAUGUGCACACCUGUCUUGACUCUAUUCAUCCACCUGUGCACCUUUUGUAGUUCUUAUGUUUUUCUGAUAAUCAUGACAUCCAUUCAGCUGAGACAUUGCUGGAAUUGAAGUUUGCCUUGUAUACCCACUUGGCUUUCCUUUUGUUGGUGGAGUCUUGACUCAGAAAUUACAGAAAGAACUAUGUCUUUUUAUCAUAAACCAUAUAGUCUGUUAUCAGAGUGUAAUCAUUGGGCCAUUUCAGUGCCUAUAAACUUUAUACAACUUUCAGCAACGGAUCUCUUGGCUCUCGCAUCGAUGAAGAACGCAGC